CCUACGGGAGCCUGCAGUGAGGAAUAUUGGUCAAUGGACGAGCGUCUGAACCAGCCAAGUAGCGUGAAGGAUGACUGCCCUAUGGGUUGUAAACUUCUUUUAUAUGGGAAUAAAACGUUCCACGUGUGGGCUUUUGUAUGUACCCUAUGAAUAAGGAUCGGCUAACUCCGUGCCAGCAGCCGCGGUAAUACGGAGGAUCCGAGCGUUAUCCGGAUUUGUUGGGUUUAAAGGGAGCGUAGGUGGAUUGUUAAGUCAGUUGUGAAAGUUUGCGGCUCAACCGUAAAAUUGCAGUUGAAACUGGCAGUCUGGAGUACAGUAGAGGUGGGCGGAAUUCGUGGUGUAGCAGUGAAAUGCUUAGAUAUCACGAAGAACUCCGAUUGCGAAGGCAGUUCACUGGACUGCAACUGACACUGAGGCUCGAAAGUGUGGGUAUCAAACAGGAUUAGAUACCCGGGUAGUC
This 460-nucleotide ribosomal RNA is filed under the name uncultured bacterium. RNAcentral describes it as "partial 16S ribosomal RNA". It matches the Rfam family "Bacterial small subunit ribosomal RNA", at positions 338 to 795 of the family's 1533-position model. The record is from RNAcentral.